GGAAAAGAAACCAACAGGGAUUGCCUCAGUAACGGCGAGUGAAGCGGCAAAAGCUCAAAUUUGAAAUCUGGCUCUUUCAGGGUCCGAGUUGUAAUUUGUAGAAGAUGCUUCGGGUGUGGUCCCGGUCUAAGUUCCUUGGAACAGGACGUCAUAGAGGGUGAGAAUCCCGUAUGUGACUGGGUACCUACGCUCAUGUGAAGCUCUUUCGACGAGUCGAGUUGUUUGGGAAUGCAGCUCAAAAUGGGUGGUAAAUUUCAUCUAAAGCUAAAUAUUGGCCAGAGACCGAUAGCGCACAAGUAGAGUGAUCGAAAGAUGAAAAGCACUUUGGAAAGAGAGUUAAACAGUACGUGAAAUUGUUGAAAGGGAAGCGCUUGCAAUCAGACUUGCGCCUAGUUGAUCAUCCGGGCUUCUGCCCGGUGCACUCGAUUAGGCUCAGGCCAGCAUCGGUUUGGGUGGUUGGAUAAAGGCUUGGGGAACGUAGCCUCCUUCGGGGGGUGUUAUAGCCCCAGGUGCAAUGCAGCCUACCUGGACCGAGGACCGCGCUUCGGC
RNAcentral lists this ribosomal RNA (549 nucleotides) under Rutstroemia paludosa. RNAcentral describes it as "eukaryotic LSU rRNA". It matches the Rfam family "Eukaryotic large subunit ribosomal RNA", at positions 55 to 606 of the family's 3401-position model. Lineage: Eukaryota; Fungi; Ascomycota; Leotiomycetes; Helotiales; Rutstroemiaceae. The record is from RNAcentral.